CGGCGGACGGGUGAGUAACGCGUGGGUAACCUGCCUCAUACAGGGGGAUAACAGUUGGAAACGGCUGCUAAUACCGCAUAAGCGCACAGUACCGCAUGGUACGGUGUGAAAAACUCCGGUGGUAUGAGAUGGACCCGCGUCUGAUUAGGUAGUUGGUGGGGUAACGGCCUACCAAGCCGACGAUCAGUAGCCGACCUGGGAGGGUGACCGGCCACAUUGGGACUGAGACACGGCCCAA
This 238-nucleotide ribosomal RNA is filed under the name uncultured bacterium. Its description in RNAcentral is "partial 16S ribosomal RNA". It matches the Rfam family "Bacterial small subunit ribosomal RNA", at positions 96 to 334 of the family's 1533-position model. The record is from RNAcentral.